AUUGAACGCUAGCGGGAUGCUUUACACAUGCAAGUCGAACGAGUGGCGGACGGGUGAGUAAUAUAUCGGAACGUGCCCAAUGGCGGGGGAUAACUACUGGAAAGAGUGGCUAAUACCGCAUACCAUCAGAUCGGCCCAGAUCGGAUUAGCUAGUUGGUGGGGUAAAGGCUCACCAAGGCAACGAUCCGUAGCUGGUCUGAGAGGAGGACCAGCCACACUGGAACUGAGACACGGCCCAGACUCCUACGGGAGGCAGCAGUGGGGAAUUUUGGACAAUGGGGGAAACCCUGAUCCAGCCAUCCCGCGUGUAUGAGAAGGCCUUCGGGUUGUAAAGUACUGUUGGCAGAGAAGCGGUAUCUGCAGAAUAAGCACCGGCUAACUACGUGCCAGCAGCCGCGGUAAUAC
This 405-nucleotide ribosomal RNA is filed under the name uncultured bacterium. Its description in RNAcentral is "partial 16S ribosomal RNA". It matches the Rfam family "Bacterial small subunit ribosomal RNA", at positions 30 to 526 of the family's 1533-position model. The record is from RNAcentral.